This 460-nucleotide ribosomal RNA is filed under the name uncultured bacterium. Its description in RNAcentral is "partial 16S ribosomal RNA". It matches the Rfam family "Bacterial small subunit ribosomal RNA", at positions 338 to 795 of the family's 1533-position model. The record is from RNAcentral.
CCUACGGGUGGCAGCAGUGAGGAAUAUUGGUCAAUGGGCUGAAGCCUGAACCAGCCAAGUCGCGUGAGGGAUUAAGGCCCUGCGGGUCGUAAACCUCUUUUGCCGGGGAGCAGUGGUCCGGACGCGUCCGGGCCGGGAGAGUACCCGGAGAAAAAGCCUCGGCUAACUCCGUGCCAGCAGCCGCGGUAAUACGGAGGAUGCGAGCGUUAUCCGGAUUUAUUGGGUUUAAAGGGUGCGUAGGCGGGCAUUUAAGCCGGCGGUCAAAUGUCGGGGCUCAACCCCGGCCUGCCGUCGGAACUGGGUGCCUUGAGUGGGCGAGAAGUAUGCGGAAUGCGUGGUGUAGCGGUGAAAUGCAUAGAUAUCACGCAGAACCCCGAUUGCGAAGGCAGCAUACCGGCGCCCGACUGACGCUGAGGCACGAAAGUGCGGGUAUCGAACAGGAUUAGAUACCCUAGUAGUC